Molecule: ribosomal RNA, 658 nt
Filed under: Paratimea constellata
Lineage: Eukaryota; Metazoa; Porifera; Demospongiae; Tethyida; Hemiasterellidae
Also listed under: 1 other name
Description: eukaryotic LSU rRNA
Rfam family: Eukaryotic large subunit ribosomal RNA
Source: RNAcentral
CCGUUAGGAGGGAAACCGAUGCAGCCAUGAAGGCUCCGUUCAGGUUCAGGGUGUCUUGGCUGGAUGCGUUGGACGCGUCGGACCCGCUUCGGGCCGUGCGGCUUCGUGUUCUAGGAGACUCCUGCAAUCCCGUCUGGAGCCCGCCAACGGUGGCCUAUCCUGGGCGAUUAAGGGUCGUAGGGUAGGUGUCUUCCAUGAGCCCUCUUGGGGGUUCGGGAAGAACUUACAGCCUUCGUCUCGGUGUACCAGGAAUGGCGAAGGAGAGUCGCGACGUUUCGCGCGCUGUAGUGCAGGCUCCGUAAGGGCCGGGCCACUUCUGUUCUUGCGUGCUUUGCGGCGAGGCAUUGCACGCAGUGUCCGCUGACAAUAAGUGCGCUUGGUUGGAAGAGGGGCCACGAUCUGCGCUGUGGUCGUUGGUGUGUGUAUGGUUCCAUCCGACCCGUCUUGAAACACGGACCAAGGAGUGCAAGAGGCGUGCAAGUCCUUGGGUUGCUUAGACCCUGGGGCACAAUGAAAGUGAAGGGGGCCACGUGUUCCCCAAGGCGAGAGCCUGCCCAUGUUGCGGUGCCCAUCGUCGACCGAUCCCAGGCUGCUCUGCGGUGGGAUUCGAGUGAGAGCAUGCCUGUUGCGACCCGAAAGAUGGUGAACUAUGCCUGAA